AAUCCGCAAAGGAGCUAACCUAUUUCAGUCAAGUUUUACUUUUAUCCUUCCUUUUGUAACUCGAGAUACCGGUACCUCGUGGUACCAAAUCGUUUCUGAUCGUUGGAUCUAACAAUGCACAUCCUACUUAGCUAGAUCUAAUGGUGAGAAACGAUUUGGUACCUCGAGGUACCAAAAGGAAGGAUAGGAGUAAAACUCUAGCUGGGCCUUAUUAAUCACCAAAACAAUACAUAUUUAAUCGUGCUCCCUUCUGUUUUUCUUUUGACAAGCUACCUAUCUGCAGACAAUAUGUAUAAACCAAUUUUUUGUUCAGUUGGUUAAUAUAUCCUCUUAUAUACUUGUAUGUAAUAUACUGUCUUACUAUGCUUAACCAACUGGAAAUCUCUCCGUGUUCUAAACUGGGAUGCAUAUGAACACAUGGUAGUAGCAUGCAUCUGGUUCUGGAGCAAAGAAU
RNAcentral lists this long non-coding RNA (454 nucleotides) under Oryza brachyantha (malo sina). Its description in RNAcentral is "long non-coding RNA (OBRA_LNC000018)". Lineage: Eukaryota; Viridiplantae; Streptophyta; Magnoliopsida; Poales; Poaceae. The record is from RNAcentral.